This 422-nucleotide ribosomal RNA is filed under the name uncultured bacterium. RNAcentral's name for it is "partial 16S ribosomal RNA". It matches the Rfam family "Bacterial small subunit ribosomal RNA", at positions 360 to 775 of the family's 1533-position model. The record is from RNAcentral.
AAUCUUGGUCAAUGGUGGAAACCCUGAUCCAGUCAUCCCGCGAGUAUGAUGAUGGCCAUCGGUUUGUAAAGUACUUUUGUCAGAGAAGAAAAGGUAUCUCCUAAUACGAGAUCAUGCUGACUGUAUCUGCAGUAUAAGCACCGGCUAACUAGCUGCCAGCAGCCGCGGUAAUACGUAGGGUGCAAGCGUUAAUCGGAAUUACUGGGCGUAAAGCGUGUGUAGGCGGUUCGGAAAGAAAGAUGUGAAAUCCCAGGGCUCAACCUUGGAACUGCAUUUUUAACUGCCGAGCUAGAGUAUGUCAGAGGGGGUAGAAUUCCACGUGUAGCAGUGAAAUGCGUAGAUAUGUGGAGGAAUACCGAUGGCGAAGGCAGCCCCCUGGGAUAAUACUGACGCUCAGACACGAAAGCGUGGGGAGCAAACAG